This 568-nucleotide ribosomal RNA is filed under the name uncultured Fusarium. RNAcentral describes it as "SSU rRNA". It matches the Rfam family "Eukaryotic small subunit ribosomal RNA", at positions 185 to 761 of the family's 1831-position model. Lineage: Eukaryota; Fungi; Ascomycota; Sordariomycetes; Hypocreales; Nectriaceae. The record is from RNAcentral.
GCCCUUGGAAGGGAUGUAUUUAUUAGAUUAAAAACCAAUGCCCUUCGGGGCUCACUGGUGAUUCAUGAUAACUCCUCGAAUCGCAUGGCCUUGUGCCGGUGAUGGUUCAUUCAAAUUUCUUCCCUAUCAACUUUCGAUGUUUGGGUAUUGGCCAAACAUGGUUGCAACGGGUAACGGAGGGUUAGGGCUCGACCCCGGAGAAGGAGCCUGAGAAACGGCUACUACAUCCAAGGAAGGCAGCAGGCGCGCAAAUUACCCAAUCCCGACACGGGGAGGUAGUGACAAUAAAUACUGAUACAGGGCUCUUUUGGGUCUUGUAAUUGGAAUGAGUACAAUUUAAAUCCCUUAACGAGGAACAAUUGGAGGGCAAGUCUGGUGCCAGCAGCCGCGGUAAUUCCAGCUCCAAUAGCGUAUAUUAAAGUUGUUGUGGUUAAAAAGCUCGUAGUUGAACCUUGGGCCUGGCUGGCCGGUCCGCCUCACCGCGUGUACUGGUCCGGCCGGGCCUUUCCCUCUGUGGAACCCCAUGCCCUUCACUGGGUGUGGCGGGGAACCGGACUUUUACAAGGGC